UCGUUUCUUUAGAUCUGCAAUUACGAGUUUUAAUGUUAAUAAUUAGGGCCUUGGUUCUGAGACAAAGGCAAUUGCUCAUCCAUACUUUUAAUUGUGGUUCUAAUUCUAGGUUCACAAAAAGUAUAGCACAGAGCGUGCUUUAUACUGUUGGAUUCAUUUACUCUUAAAGGUCAGAGUGGGCUUGUAAACAACCCACAAGAAGUUUAUUUUUUAGUUUUUAACAAUAUUUCUUAAUAAAACUACACCAGACGACAUCUAAGAUGUUUUCAGCCCUAAAUAGGGACUAAGAUCUUUUUGUGUUAGUGUACAGUGAAAGUAAAUGAGUUGCACUAGUAUUUCACUGCAUGAAUCUGCAACUGUGGAUUCUAGUAAACUGAGUGCAACUGUGGACUUGUUUAACCCUAAAACAGGGAGUGCAACCCUUUUGGGUAACUUAUAGUGAAAGUAAUUAAACUACAAUAGGGAUUUGUCUUAUUAAUCUGCAACUGGGAUUUGUAGUGUGCAGAAGUCUGCAACUGUGGACUGGUUCAACCCUAAACAGUGAUUAUGACCUUUUUAUGUCAAUUUACAUUGAAAUUAACUGAAUGGCAGUAGGGUUUUAUGUUGGGUAAGUUCAUAUUUCUAUAAUUGAACCUUUUGAGGCCUAAAAGAUGCCCACUUAGGUGUUGUUAAUACCUCAUGAAUCUCCAGGUCUCCCAACUAAGGUUGUUCAUGAAAGAUUAUACAGAGAUGCCGGUCUGCAGUCAGGGAUGUUGUUUGUGGAGUUCCAGCAAGUUGAUUUUACAUUUCCAAAGAACCUUCUGUGCCUCUGUAUUCUGGGAAGGACUUGCCUUCUCCCUCCUUGUUCAAUAAACCCCUGGCAACCUGAUAACCGACAGUAAAUGAGCUACAUUAGUAUCUAACUACAUUUAUUUUAAUCUUUAACAAUUUUUCUUAAAUAAAGAUAAACCAGACGACAGCUAAGAUGUUUUUAAACCUUAAAUAGAAACUAGGUUCCCUUUGAUGGUAGCAAAAAUACAUGAGCUGCACUGGUGUUACCUGCCUUUUAGUCUUUAACAAUUUUUUCUUAUUAAUAGAAAUAUAUCUGACGGCAGCUAAGAUGUUUUUAAACCCUAAAAAAUAAAAACUAGGAUCCCUUUUGGUAUUAGCAACAAUAAAUGAGCUGCACUAGUAUCUACUUGCAUUUAUUUUAGUUUUAAACAAUUUUUCCUCUUAAUAAAUAUAACCCAGACGACAGCUAAGAUGUUUUUAAACCUUAAAUAGAAACUAGGUUCCCUUUGAUGUUAGCAAUAGUAAAUAAGCUGCACUAGUGCGUAAUUACAUUUAUUUUAGUCUUUAACAAAUUCUCUUAUUAAUAAAUGUAAACCAGAUGGCAAUUUAGAUGGUUUUAAAACCUUAAAUAGAAACUAAGAUCCCUUUGGUGUUAGCAACAGUAAAUGAGCUACACUAAGGUGUAACUGCUUUUAUUUUAGUCUUUAACAAAUUUUCUUAUUAAUAAAUAUAAACCAGACGACAGCUAAGAUGCUUUUAAACUCUAAAUACAAACUAGGAUCCCUUUGUUGUUAGUUACAGUAAAAUGAUCUGCACUUGUGUUGAACUGCAUGAAUCUACAACUGUGAGGUUCUAGUGUUACUAAUCAGGGCCUUGGUUUUGAGACAAAGGCAAUCGCUGCUCAUCCAACUUUUUAAUAAAUCUAAACCACACGACAUCUAAGAUGUUUCUAAACCCUGAAUGGAGACUAGGAUUCGUUUUGAGACCUAAAAGAUUCCCACCUGGAGUUGUUUAAACUUCACUUAAAUUGCCAGGUCUCCCAACUGAGGCUGUUCAAGGGACUUUUAGUUGAGACAUUUGUCUGGAGUCAGUGAUGCUGAUUAGGGAGUUCUGGGAAAUUGAUGGGCAGUUUCAGGGAAAUCUUUAUUCUUCGGUAAUACGGGAAGUUUCCGCCUUCUUGAUCCUUUACUAUAAAGCUCUGGACGCAGGUAGAACGUGAGGAGAGUGACGCCGGUACAGUUCUGAGACGGUUCGGACGAGGAGUCGCUUGGAGUUUUAAUACGCCAGCGGUUGGCUGGAGCUUUAAUCGCAGGACUACUGAUUUGGGGACGGAAUACGGAGCAGUUGUUUGGAGCGCUAAUAUUUGGCUGCAGUCAUAGUGGAGUCGACCGGAGGUUGAACGGACGAUUACUCACAGGUACGAAGGUUUUUCUCUUAUUAUCCUAGCGGAUGCUUAAUUUUUAGUCUCCAUCUAUGAAGGUCAUUCUGUUUCAAAAAGCACAAACUUGUAGAUCUGUUGUGUGUAUUUGUACUACAUGAUGGGUGCUUGAAAACAGUGUGUGUGUGUGCGUGCAGUACAGUGUGAGGAGCUGUACACCAACACCCGUAAACCUGUAAAGCUAAAUGUGUACCUGUAAGAAACACGCACAUGCGUGUGAAAUAAAAUACAGUUGUGUGGGACAUUUUCAACUACAAGUCUGUAAACACAAGUGUACAGAUCUGUUUCUGCACACGCUCAACUCUUUUAUUACAAUUGCACAGCUUUCCUCUCACACAUCUGAUUUUUGAAACUAUUUUCAUGAUUAAUUUGUGUCAAAAUGCACAAGUUUGUAAAUGUGUUGUCUGAGUCCGUACAACACAGUGUGGGCUUGAAGAUUGGAUGUGAGUGUGUGUACCGUAAAAUGUGAGCUUGAAGUUUUGAGGUGAGUGUCUGUGCAUUAAAACGUGAGAAGCUGCACAUCAACAUGUGUGAAAUUGUGAAGAUAAAUGGUACUUGUAAGAAAAAGUAAAUUGUAUGUGAAACAAAAGAAACUAAUAUGUAAAAUUUUCUUCUGCGACCCAGUAAAUGCAACUUCUCAAAUACGUUUCUGCGCAUGCUCAGUUGUUGUUUUACAAGCGCACAACUCUCCUCUCGCGAGUCUGACUUUUGAAACACUUCUGGCAGGUUGUGUGUUGCAAAUUGCAGCUGUGUGUAUCUCAUAGACUGUACAUACUGGACAAAUGGAUUCCAUAGGCUCCAAAAACACGUUUUUUGUCCAUAAUGGGAGGUGGCCACCACCGCCAUUUUGACCGUGUCACAGGUUCCGUCCAGCCCAGACAAUUCCAUAAAAGGGAAGAGAGGAGGCGCUGAGGGUGGGGCUGUAAGGCUGGGAUCGAGUGACGAACUAGCUACGAGUUAACCUGAAGCUAACCCUGGCUAACCCAAAGCUAAAGCGGAGGUGGGAGCCGAGCUAACGGAUGUAGCCACCUAGCUUCAAUUCAACCGGAGCUAACUGGAACACCCAACGACCUGACCCUCACACUGAGUUUAGGUGGAGGUUUUCUGCGCCUGUUCGUGAGAAGUACCUGUAUUAAAAAAGUUUUAAAUCGGUAAGUUUAUAAUUUAUUUCCAUAAUGAAAACAUUUUGCUUUGAGCAAGUUUUCAGUACAGUUUUUUUCGGCGCUAUCACUCCUGAGUCGCACCAGCCAUUAAAUGUAUCAUGAAUAAGAGAAAAUAUAUUUAAGUCGUAUUUUGGGGGGACAUUUUAUUAUCUUUCUUACAAAAUCUGAGACCAAGCGUUUCACAUUGCAACACAAGCACCGGUAACCAUAACAGAAUGAACAGCCAGCAGAGGAGAGGAUGGCGGUGUUUCAAACCCUCCCGGCCGGCGUGGAGAGCUCAUUCCUGGGCUGGAGCCGGCCCUCAGCACCCCGCCACAGGCUCUAACAGAUGCUGGCGGUGUUUCAUAUAUUUCCAAAAUGUAAUACUUGUUUGUAUCUUGUACAGCCAAGUAGCCUUUAUUCUGGACUCAGUACAAUUUACCAAAAGUAAAGAGACAUUAUACAGAUGAAGUAAGCACAAGAUAACUUACUGGAAGACACAGAGUUAUCAUCAGAACCAGAACAAGAGAGCCUGAUAACAGUCAUGCGAAAAUAACAGUUAAAAAGUAUGUAUGUAUAAUAGAAAUAAAAAUAUAUUAGAAUUAGUGUAACUCACUGUGAUCCAAACAAUAAAUCAGCCAUAGCUGAUUAGUAAAUAUGACAUGAGGUCUGGGAGUUUUUAAGUUUCAUUCUUUUAUUACAUUUUUUUCUUAGAUCUGUUAAAAGGUCACCGUGGCAGCCUGUGUGUCAACGUCAGCUACACAACGCAGCAAGUCCAUUUGGAUCAUUGGUGACAGCUACGUGAGGCGUGGUGCCCAGAGAGCUGCAGAGACCGUCGGACACAACCUUGGCCUCCCUGACGUCUGUGUCUCCUGGUUUGGUUGGGGCGGACCAUCGACAUACAUACAUGUGCCGACACUUUGCGCCCUGUUUUAUAAAAUGUAGUGUUAAAAAUAAAUGUUUUUGCUCAAUUACUGGAAUUUCUUUGGUUAAGACAAAAGUGACGAAUAAUCAUUUACAAGUUAUUUGUACAACAGGCCCAUUUUAAAUCCCAACAGUUUCUUAGCAGACAAUAGAAAUGUGUUCUUUAUAGGGCCGGGACUUUAACGCGUUAAUUACGAUUAAUUAAUUAGAAAAAAAUAACGCGUUAAAAUUUUUUAACGCAUUUAAUCGCAGCUUGCAUUUCAAGCACGGCGGAACCUUUGUCAUUGCACGACUUCCUCGUAGACUGAAUAUCACUGACGCACACAACAAUGCACAGCGCUAAUGGCUACUAAACGUAAUAAAAACAGAAAGAAGUUGCCUUGCUUGGACUGAUGCAGGAUUUAGGAAACACGUCCGCCUCUUUUCUUAACUUGGGGGGAAAAAAAACUUCCAGACAACAACGGAGUCCGUGUCGCGGACAUUUUUCAGAGAUCGUCUCUGCUACGGCUGCCCGCCCGGUAGCACCGUAAACUUUACAAAAGUUGCGGUAAGCUAUAUUUUUAACAUUUACGUAACAUCUGUGCAGCGCUGAAAGCACCAGACAGAAUAAUUCUUUGCCCUAACAGUAGUUUAUGAAAGUAGUCAGACAAACGAGAGGCACCUGGCUGCCGCUGGGAGAACGCUCCGUGUUCUCGUGUCUUACAGUUGAAAACAGAAGUUUAAGUUAAAACAGAAACACUCUGAAACUUUUCUGAUGAUUUUCUAAACAAUUCUGUCGGGGAAUUCUAUGUUUCUGAGACGAGUCUCUGUCUAAACAUCACAUGCAUUAUUACUAUCAUUAAGCAGCGAGGUGUGUUAAAGCUGUGUAUCUGGGGCAGCGAGGAACGAGGAAGUUGUGAUCCGGCUGAAGAUCACACCAGAUUCGCUGCAGCAGGCGUGAAUCUGCGGGUCUGCAGCAUCCCCUUAUUAACGUGACAGCAGGACUUCCCAUGUAAGGAAGGUCCGCUCACCUGUUCGUCAGAUCAUUAUUUCCUCGCCAUGAUCUUUUAUCUUCCCAUCAACCUCCAGUCAUCCAACUGGAACCAGUUAGUGUUCCUGAUCAUUCUCAGAAUAUGCCACGCCUGCUCUGGUGUUAAAAGUUAGUACAUUUAAGUCCUAGAUCAUAUUUGUGCCUGUUCUACUGUCAUUUUGAAGGAUUAUUAUUUAUGUGUUUUUUACUACAUUAUGAGUAGAAAUGCUAAUAAAAACUCCCAAUUAUACAAACAAGUGAAACUGGAAAAAUUAGAAUCUGGUGCAAAGUCAAAUUUAUUUCAGUCAUUCAACUAGACAGAGAGACUAUUUAAAGGCUCAGGAACCUUCUAUUUGUAAUUAUAAAUUUUAGUUUAUUUGGGUUUUGUUUCAUAUCACACAGUGACAUUUGAAUAAUUAAAAUGCAUUUUUUUAUUAAACGCUUUAGUUUACAGUAAUAACCAUGUCUAAUGUUUGAUUCUCUGUCUCAAAAUUUUAAUUAAAAGUUUUACUUUGAAAGCACAUUUGCCUGAACGAUUAAAAUGCGAUUAAUUGAGAUUAAUUAAUUACAAAGCCUGUAAUUAAUUAGAUUAAAAAUUUUAAUGAAGUUCCAGCCCUAGUUCUUUACUAACUUUACUUGGUUUGAAAAUCUUACUAAAAUAAACUUGAGUGCCGUAUUGCAAAACCCAAUCAUACUUGUUAUGUAAACAUUAGCUUUGUAGAUAUUUUUUACAGAUAUAUAUUUGUGUGCAACAAAAACCAAACUUAAAUAAUUUGUCAUUCUUUAUUGAAAAACAACAAAAUACAGGUAUACAGAAGUGUGGGAAAAUGAUAAUGUGAAAGUAUUGCACUAUAAAUGAAGUGAGAUGAGAUGAAGGUGGACGCCAGCGGGCUGGACGCCGGACGAGGAAACCUGGAGACGGAUCGCUCAGACAGGAAGGGAAGAGCUUCCUCUUACCUUGAUGGAAUUAAAGUUAGCCGUCAUCUGAAUGCCCAACCGUACGGUCUGAGGUCAAAGGUCACAGGAAACACACACCAGUCAGCAGUCAUACAGAUGCAUAAAGAUAACUGUAGCCAUGGCAACCAGCUGACAUGUCCCCACUUUCACCAGCACCUGGUGCCUGCCGGGUCACCUGAAUUCCUGUGUGAUGUCAGCACGGUCGGCCGUGACUGCGGCCAUCAGAGGUGACCUCUGAUCAGCUGAAUGAACUCACCUUCCAGGGUGACGCCGUGUUAGAGUCGGCUUCAUCCUGUAAACAAACAAACAAACAAACAAAUGAGUGGUAACAAAAACACCACGUCUGGUUCUGGUGGAGGCGGAGGACAACAUGCACCUUUCCAGGAGCAGAACCCAGAUGUUCUUGUUGCUACAAACAGAGACGAGCAGAGUUAAACCAGGAAGUGAGAGGGACCAGCUGCUGCAGACAGGUGACGCUCACCUGAGCCUGAACCAUAGGAGCCUCCUCAGCCAUCAGACCUUCUGACUCCAGUUCAGAUGCCACCUUGUUGAUGUCCCUCAGGCGUGACUCGUUGGCCUUCAGGUCCUGCAGGACAAAAGCACCUGCUGAUCACCUUGUUGCUGUCGGGUUAACAGGUCUGGUGUUAGAACGUGGUGGAUAAGAAUGUUCUGACGGGCCGAGGGUUCUGAACUCACCCUGCAGGACUGGGCCUGCUCCUUCAGGGCCUGGAUGCUGCUGCCGUAAGCCGACAGGUCCGACAUCAGGGCCUCGUGCUUCUUCAGGAGAGCCUGUGGAGCAGAACAUCAGAACCUUCAGCUCGUCUGACACAAGUGGCGCUUUCUCGCAGCGAUGGUCCAAUCGGAUCCGCCACCGUAAAACAAACCCUGCUCAGUUCCCCGCAGACGCAGCUCUGCGGGUGUUUAGUGGAAAAGCGUGAGCCUUCUGCCGGCUGCCAUGUGUCAUGGCUGCUCUGCAGCGGGAACACACAUCACAGCUUGUAAACCGUUUGAAAUAAGAGCAACGGGAACACGUUUGUCAUCACUUCCUGUGCGAGGCCAGCACUUCUACCCCUAACCCAUGAGACGCUCAAACGAGCAACGUCUGGUAGACAACCGAAGGAAAUGACAAAUACAGAAACACUAAUUAUGAAGGACUGGAAAGAGAGCAAAGAAAAGCGAUUGGAGUUUCUCAGGAAGGGACUUCCAUACCUCGGCCAAGUCCUCGUCUUUCCCUUAGUCUGGACUUCCAACGAUGGGCUCCUUCUCCCUCAUCCAGGACUCGGCCUCAUUAGCAUCCGCAAAGUACUGCUGGGCCUGCAGAGAGUCCUCCAGGUCCUGCCUCCUCUGGGACGCCUUGGCCUUCAGCAUGUCCCAACGUCCAUGAAGCUCCCACAGUUUAGUCUUCACUUCCUCACCAGCGAAGUGACCUGGACCCAAAAAAAGUGAGCCAGAACCUGCAGACACCUCAGAAACAUGUCAGGACCAGACCUGCUCUACCUUCCUCCACCAUGGUCUCUCCUUUCUGGGUGACAGUCUUGAUGCAAGGUUCAUGACCUGUGAUCUCAGCCUGCAGAGCCUGGUGCUUCUUCAGCAGGUUCUGGACACCAAUCAGGUCCUUCCCUGAGGACACAUGUUAAGAGUUCAGCAUUAUGCAGUAGACAGACCAGUUUAACCCAGGGGUUUCUUUCUUCUACAAUCUGCUCUUUAACUGUAUUAUUUCCUGCUAUUUCAGCUGUUAACUUUAUUUUUUCUCUAAGUGUUUUUCUCCCCAGAAGAAGCUACAAUGGUGUUCUGCUGAGCUGUGGUGGCCUCAUGGAGGGGGCCAUCGGCUAGUACACUGCUGCUAACCACUUAAACAUUCUCCCUCUCCUGAUAAUAACAUUUUACUUUCUUUGAUGUUGGAUGUGCUACUACUAGUUUACCCGUUUAAUUAUAGAUUCACUAGGAUAAAUACAAUAAAGUUUUAUCUCUCGCCAAAUAGAAUAUUUACUAAGAAAUCACAAUGUAAUGUGUGUGUGUGUGUGUGUGUGUGUGUGUGUGUGUGUGUAAAAGCCAUGUGUAGUGUUUAUUUAUAAAGCAUAUGUUGUUGGAUUUUAUCCAGAAUCGAGACUUUGAAAAUAUAUAUUUUAAUUACAGUUUGAUUUAUUUGACAUCUGUAUAAUGUUUAUUAUUUUGUUUUUUCCCCCUAAAUACCUAACGUUUUAGUUAACAUGAAUAUUAGUCAUUCAUCCCAAAACAUAAAGUUACACAUUUUAAAUUUUAAUAGGGGAAGACUGCAGGAGGGAGUGGUAAAAUACAGGGGGUCCCCUGCAAAAACUAAAUUUACGAGUCUGAUGAAACUUGCUGGUAUUCCCGCUGCUUCUUCAGUAAACAGCGCCAACAAAAACAAAGAAACUUGGGAUCUUGUCGGCGUGGCGGUGGGAUUUAAGGGAAACGCUGUAUGCCCUAUAGACUUCUCAACGAGCUGCAGUAUUUCUCCGGUCAGAUCUGUCUCCGAGUUCGAGAGCUCCACGAGCGGUCAGCCCGCAGCAGCGAGGCGCUGCAUCGGUCAGGCUGCCCGGCCUGACCGCUGGGGAUUACCGGAUGAAAGAAUGGAGCACAGGUGUCCCUCCAAGCGGCGCGCUCCGUCAUAUUUCAACCCAUUUUUAUCUUAAAUGCACUGGGUUUUACCCUUUUACCCAUUAAAAUAUGCCCUAUUAAUUAUUUUACCGUAUUUUACAUUUAAAUUUCAUGGUUAAACAGUACAUGCUACGUGCUAAACUGAUAGUUAGCUAGCUACUUCGGUAAACUCAGCUAGGUGGCAGUGACAUAAAAUACAAAUAUAGACUUUAACUUACCAAAAAAAAUGAAGUGGAGACUCCUUGGACGCUCUAUUAGUGCAAUUAAUACCACAGCAAGUCAUUUUGUCCAACAAUUGCACCAAUAAUAUCCAAAACAGAAUUCACAAGCACAGAGACUCAAAAUCCCCUCACAGUUUCCAGGAGAGACCGAGGCUGUACUGAGGCCUUUCCACGGAGCUAGCUAUGUGGUCACGUGGGUCUGAGGCGGCGGUCACGUGUGUCGGAUGCUCAUUAAUUAUACAGAAUUUUAGGCUUUCAAUACACUUAAACAGAAGAGUGAGAAAAAAUUCACCCCCCUCAGAGUUGUCAUGAGUAUAAACUAGAUAAUUUAGACAAAAAACAAUUUUUGGAACCAGGCUGUAAACAUGUUUAUUUCUGCUGUGAAAAUGGCAUUUUUAACAUGGGAGUCAAUGAGGAUUUGCUCGCUUCUGGUACCAGCCCCCAGCGGAUGAGGGUGGAACUGCAAUUUUUCUUACUUCCGGGAUGGAACCAUUUUUAGAGCGGCAUUGUGGGGGCUUGGUGUAUCUGCAGAGGCGAGUGGAGCAGGGGAUGAGGGCGAGGGUGGGGGCAGAAGGAGGAGCCACAGAGGGAGGGUUGUCAUUGGUCGGCUCUGGUUUCCAGGACAACAGGCUCAACCAAUCAGAGUGAGAGUUGCGUUUUUCCCUCGGUUUUCAGUCCGCUGCCGUCUGCAGUUCGCGACGGCAGAACGAGCUGGGGUAAGUACAUUUCAACUUAUUUUAGUCAUUUCCUCGUCUUUUUAUUUAAACAAGGUGACACACUAACUUAGUCAUGCUAUUUAUACCAUUAUUAAGGCCUUAUUAUAAGAUAUUUGUACAACUAUGUAGUCUAGCUAAAGUUUAUAUGAGCUGCUUUGCUAAGUUAGCAGAAACAAGAACGCCACUGCUAACACUGUAGUCUUGCAUUAAGGCCACUGUGCUUGGGUAUAAUCCCAGGGGUGUUUCUCAAUGUCAAGGCUUAGAGGACACUGUCCUUCCUUGGUCAAAGAAAACAGUUAAAUGGAACUGACUUGCAUCACGUGACCAGGGCACGGGCCUAAAAUCUGAGCCCGUGUCUGGCCCGGCCCGAGAGGGUGGAGCCCCAGCCCGACCUGGUCCGAAAAGGUUUUCAGGAUUCUCUGGCCCGACCUGAGCCCGACUUUUUUCUAACCUUUCAUAAUGUUUUAGCGUGAUAGAAUGCUCAGCAUUCUAAUUAUCUGUGGGAAGCGUUCUGCAGUAAAAAAAAAAAAAAAAAAGAAAGAAAGAAAAACAGCAACAAUGCAGCUGUUUUUUCUAACAGAGCGUAUUUUUCGAGCGGCAGAUGAAAUUUACGAACACUAUAUUAAAUGGAUGCAUUUGUAAAUUUAAUCUGCUCUGAAAAUUAGAAAAUUAGAAUGCUGCUUUUUUUCUAACUGCAGAGCGCAUUUUCAGAGCGGCAGAUUAAAUAAACACCCCCAAUUAAUAUAGCGUUUGUAAAUUUUAUCUGCCGCUCUGAAAAUGCGCUCUCUAGUUAGAAAAAACCCCAGCAAUGAAUGCUGUAUUUUUUUUAACUGCAGAGCGAAUUUAUCCACAGAAAAAUAGAAUGCUGCUGUUUUCAUGAGAAUAAACGAAUGGUUUCUGACAUCAAAGUGGACAUAAAAUGGCAUAUUAGAAUAGGGGCACAUGUUUCAAUCAGCAGUUUGAGAAUUUGUUCAUAUAGGCCCAUUUAUAAACCACACAGACCUUAACUGAGCUAACGGGUGCCGGUGCGUGAGAAGCAGGCAGGUGCUGCUGCGUUUAAGUGUUUCAGUUUUUUUUUAUGAAUUCGAUUAAAAAUAAAGGCGCCCGGCCCGUGUCCGAGGUAAUUACAGUCGUUGGCCCGAAGACCGGCCCUCGGGCCGGGCUGACUCCAGGGCUGGGCUUCAGUAUAGGGCUCUAACAGAGAUUAACGAUAGAUAAAAUCACUGUUGGAAAAUGUCUCCCACCCCAUGCUGUUGCAGACGCUGUUCCCCACAAAUUCACUUAUUUGUUUGCAUUCUUGCUGCUUCAGUGAAUUUCACUUUUAUUUUACUAACGCUAAUUCACCUCAUUUGCAUUAUUCAUAGAACAUUUAGAGUUUUUCAAAGCACCAAAAUGUCCACUGAGGGACAAUGAAGUACUUAGAAAAUGCUGAUAAGUGUCUGACACCUCGGAUAUCAGCCCAGGCUGCUGACACUCUGAACAAUCAGAUCUCCUGGCAACUCGGCUCCUCCACCAUUACCACAUCAAAGCUCUCAGCCUCUCCUCUGCUGUCCACCACAGAUUUCACACCUUCCACCACAGACAGAAACCUCUUCUGUUUGUGUCCUAAACAAGCCUAUAGAGCUCCGGGAGUUAACGUCACUUCUCCCGGCAUGCAACAGUUCAAAUCGAAACGGUGCCAUAUUGGCAUGCAGAAGCCGGCAGCUGGACUAUUUGUUAUUGUCAGAAAACUCAAUCAAACGGGAAAUAUGGUAGAUUCCUGUUGUGCCCCAGGAUGCAGAACAGACGCGGACGACAUAAGGAAUGAGCCAUCUACAGGAUUCUCCAAGAUCCGGAGCGCCGCAAACGUUGGAUCAUUUUAAUAAAACGCACUAGUGACCGGGCGAAAAUGAAGCUGUGGGAUCCCGAGAGUAAAGGUUUUCGCUUAUGCAGCGACCACUUCAUAUCAGGUACUUAAACCAACGUUUCCUCAACUGUGUAUGGUAUUUAUUUUAAAUGCUUUUAUUAUGAUUCUUAGUGGGCUUCCUAAACUUAUUUUGGCGUGGCUUUUUCUGUCUUAUUACUCAUAGCAGCAAGUAAACAUCACGUAAAACGUUGCCUCAUGAGUUCUGCGUGCUGCCGUUUCCGUGUUUUAUGAUCACAGCAAUUAACCGGCUAAGCUGUAUUUAAUUUUUAAGCAAUGGUUGAUCAAUUGUCAGAUCACACAUAAAAAGCACUUUGGAUUGCUGUUAUCUGUCUCACCGAGACUUCUUACGUGUAAAUCUGUUAUUUUUCCGUCCAUCCAUCCAUUUUCAUCCGCGUAUCCGGAGUCGGGUUGCGGGGGCAGUAGCGUGACUUCCCUCUCCCCAGCCGCCGGAGCCAGCUCCUCCGGGUAAAUUCCAAGGGGUUCCCCGGUCAGGUCCGGUGUUGUGCCGGUAAGAAGUCCGCUCUGACAGCUUCUGGUGUCGGAGCGGGCAGUAGAGUCAAGCGUCCCAGACCUUCUCCCCAGCUCCUCCGGCCGGGGGAAUCCCAAGGGGUUCCCCGGACAGGUCCGGUGCUGUGCCGGUAAGAAGUCCGCUCCGACAGCUUCUGGCGUUUUUAAAAAGUAUCCCAGGGGCACGGUAAGGGUCGGAGAUGUUUAGUCUAUUUAAUUUCUGACUAUAUAAAACGAUUUCUUCUGUUUUAAAGUGUGAAGUAAACUCCGAUGAAGUAAAAUCCAAGCGGAUCCCGUUCAUGUUCAUGGUUACAUCCGUGUUUGUUUACCUUUUUUGCAUGCCAAAAUGGCGUCCACUAACUGAGAGUCACGUGGGGUCCGGAGCUCUAUUGACUCAGUGAUAAAUUAUAAACUACACAUAUCAAACAAGCUCACCAAAAUAACGUACUAUAGAUAGCAACUCUGUACUGCUUAUAAUAUAAAAUUAAUGCAAACAUUAUAUAAUUAAUUAAUUUUAUAUCUGUAAGUCAAUUCUAUGUAAAGUUUAUCUGCGUAAACCUGAACAGGCCCAACCCGGUCUACUGCUCUGCCUCCCUCUGCAGCCUCAUGUCCUCCCUGAUCAGCUCCAGAAGCUGGUCAUCGCUGGCACCUUCCCCUGGAUGCCCAUUUUCUCCAGAAUAGUCUUAACAAACAUGUAAGAAAAAAAAACAGGAAGUGAAAAGAGGACAACGGGUUAUUCCUUUCAUGGUUUCGCAGAAAAAAAUAAACUCAAGUUUUUAAAAUAUGAGAUGUUAUUGUACCUCCAUGCCACAGCCGCCGAAUACCUUGCUCCAGUGAUCAUGUGGUCCAUCUCCGCCCUAAGCUUAAUAAAUUCCCUGGUUUACUCUUUUGUCCCUAAAAUACAAACUCCUAUUAAAAUCAGGGGGAAAACGUAGCGGGAGAAGUACAACACAGAGCGGCCGAACAUACGAGCCGAGACCUCAAUACAAGCACUUUCAAUGUAACAUUUCUAACUAAAAUAACGUUCAUGUAUCACAAAAAGCCCUUAACCUAACAGUUUUCAAGUUUAUACUGACAUUUAUAUGCGCAAUCCUCUCCGACAGCUCCUGCUUCACUGUCCGCCAUUGUUUUUAAGUUUUUCUGCUAGCCGGCCCGCAAGGCAUCUUGGGAAAUGCUACCCAUUGAAGGAUACGCCGGACCCGUCCUUCAUUCAGGCGAAAAGAAGGCCGGAUUCGUCGACCGCAUUUGAAGGAGUCUUCUAAUUGGGACAGGCCUAGUCGCGGCGCUGUGACGUAACCGGCCGACGAAUCCGUCCGACGUAGGAUGUAGACCCUGAAUUGAGACACAGCCAAGGACAACACGGUGAAGCUAGCCAUGCUAGGCAGAGCUAAUGUUGCCAUGCAGCUCGACGAGGGAAACGGAAGAAACGGAGGACGUUUGGACAGGGAGAACAACAGCAGCUGGGUGCAGAGGUUUGUGACACCAUCCUGAGCCAUACAAAAGAGCGAUUCUCUUUUACCAAGCACCUCGUUACUGCCACUCUGCUACAAAGUGACUUGUUUGUGAAACACACAGCGCAGUUCCCAGAUGCACCACUGGCGACCGCUGUAGAGGCCUACCCCAUGCUGAACAAUGCUAAGCUCAGAACAGAGCUAUUCCUCAUCUAUGAGAACCAUGAGUUCAGGGCUUGCAUUGGUGCACUGACUCUCUUCCAGUUUUUCAUGGAGAACAAUCUUCAAAGCACGUUCACAGAGACUGUCACUCUUUUGAAGAUUCUUGUCACCACACCCAUGACCACAGCUGAAUCAGAAAGGUGCUUUUCUACUUUAAAGAGGAUUAAGACUUCCCUGAGGAACACCAUGACACAGGAUGGGCUGAAUGCUCUUGCCAUGCUCUCCAUGGAAAAAAAAAGUUUGUCACAAACAUUC
Nothobranchius furzeri (turquoise killifish) is the source of this 14138-nucleotide non-coding RNA. The record is from RefSeq and is a predicted model, not a curated record. NCBI's taxonomy places the organism in Eukaryota, Metazoa, Chordata, Actinopteri, Cyprinodontiformes, Nothobranchiidae.